RNAcentral lists this ribosomal RNA (484 nucleotides) under uncultured bacterium. RNAcentral's name for it is "bacterial SSU rRNA". It matches the Rfam family "Bacterial small subunit ribosomal RNA", at positions 35 to 507 of the family's 1533-position model. The record is from RNAcentral.
CGGCUAGCGGCAGGCUUAACACAUGCAAGUCGAGGGGCAGCAAGGAUUGUGCUUGCACAAUCUGUUGGCGACCGGCGCACGGGUGCGUAACGCGUAUGCAACCUACCUUUAACAGGGGGAUAACACUGAGAAAUUGGUACUAAUACCCCAUAAUACUUUGAAAGGCAUCUUUCGGAGUUGAAAGUUCCGGCGGUUAGAGAUGGGCAUGCGUUGUAUUAGCUAGAUGGUGAGGUAACGGCUCACCAUGGCGACGAUACAUAGGGGGACUGAGAGGUUAACCCCCCACAUUGGUACUGAGACACGGACCAAACUCCUACGGGAGGCAGCAGUGAGGAAUAUUGGUCAAUGGACGCAAGUCUGAACCAGCCAUGCCGCGUGCAGGAUGACGGCUCUAUGAGUUGUAAACUGCUUUUGUAUUAGGGUAAACCUUAGUACGUGUACUAAGCUGGAAGUAUAAUACGAAUAAGGAUCGGCUAACUCCGUG